This is a long non-coding RNA of Belonocnema kinseyi, 362 nucleotides long. RefSeq lists it as uncharacterized. NCBI's taxonomy places the organism in Eukaryota, Metazoa, Arthropoda, Insecta, Hymenoptera, Cynipidae. The record is from RefSeq and is a predicted model, not a curated record. The transcript is spliced from 3 exons.
AAUCAUAAUAAAAGUUAAGUACAUCUUGCGAGGAAUUUCCAUUACCUUUUCUUGCUAUUACAUCUUUGGCUAUCUAACACCUUUACCGCUGCGUUAUUCUUGAGAUUUUAUUCAAAGUGCUUUUCCGCAUAAAUCCUUCAUAGAGUGAAAAACAUGCCUCCGGAAGAAAGACGUCUACGUAGUUAUAAUGCAAGUGUUUACGCCUUUCGCUCGAAUUGACCAAAUUUACAAGCGCGUGUUCAUUAAACUAUGACACUAUACAAACGUAGCUGCCGUCCAAACUAAAAUGUUACGGCAGGAUGAAAAUGAGCAAGAGCAUUACUGUUAUUGUCUUUCUUCUUUUUAUUUAAAACCAUUUGGUC